AUGGAGGCACAGUCUCUGAAGGAGGGGGGAGGGAUGGAGGAGGAUAAGGAGGCUGAGCCAGGUCUCUGGAUGGGUAUUGGGAUUAGGCAUUGUAAAGGAUGGAUGGAGCAGGCUGCACGCAGCUGUGUGUCCUCAGAGAGGGCAGACUCUUUCCAUCCCCAGCAUGGCAGAAAACACACGAUGGAAAAAGUCUUGAAAGAGAGGAAGGAAGGGAUCUGGUUUGGAUCAUUGCUGUGGCGAUGUCUGCAGAAUAAGGUGUUUAUUUUGGAAAGGGCUCUGUUUACAUGUCUGUUUUUAUGCGACACCCACAUAUGGAGAUGUUUGCUUUGCCGGGACCUCACAUUCCUCCCCGCACACACAACACACACGUCCCAGCUGGGACAAGUGGGGGGUCCCUUCGCUCCCAGGUCCCCACCAGCCAGCCCCCGUCCCUCCCUCGGGCAGCUGGGACAAAGCACGGUCACGCUGCAAAAUGUUUCCAGCCAAAGAGUGUCCAAAGUCUCUCAAAGUGCAGUCCCCACCACCCUGCAUGUCAGUGGACGGAUGUUAUGUCCCUCACAUUUAAGGCACCUCGGUCACAGCGCUGCAGAAGCCCCUUCUUCCUCUCCUGGCCCACGGUCACCCUCUCAUGGUGGCCACAGGUCAGCCAGAGCAUCCCCUCACGUUGGAGCUGCACGAGCACAGAUCCCACUGCAAUUCUUCCUCAUCUCCAUGCUGAGGUGUUGGACAAGCAGGCUGUUACUAAAAAGCAGAGAGGGAGAACUUUCUUCUGACAACCUCCUUUGGCCAGACAGGGCCGUGUCCCAGACCCCGGGUCUGCGCAGAGCCUACAGCCCUGCACACCGAUGGUGGCAGAGGACAUGGGCUGCCUCCUGA
Molecule: long non-coding RNA, 876 nt
Filed under: Anser brachyrhynchus (Pink-footed goose)
Lineage: Eukaryota; Metazoa; Chordata; Aves; Anseriformes; Anatidae
Description: lncRNA (ENSABRG00000003895.1)
Source: RNAcentral